Molecule: long non-coding RNA, 625 nt
Organism: Fukomys damarensis (Damara mole-rat)
Lineage: Eukaryota; Metazoa; Chordata; Mammalia; Rodentia; Bathyergidae
Exons: 3
Source: RefSeq, a predicted model, not a curated record
CAAGAAUGAGAGAAACAGCUGGGCACGGCAUCCCUGAGGCAGUAGUGGAGAAUUUGUCUGGGAUCGCUUCUUUCCCUGAAAACCAUCACCUGAGAUACAUGCUAUAAUCAGGCCAAGACGCAGCUGAGGAAGAGUUUGCUAAAUGUUCAGAAAUUUUGUGAAUUAGUCGUUAAACAUGUUCUCAUCUUAGGAAGUACACAUUGUUGGAGAAGCCUGCCCAGCCCCCCACCAUUUAUCCACAUGUCUACCAGCCUAGCAGAGGAGACUUCAGGAAGAGGACAGCUGAGACAAAGUCUCUGCUCCAGUGGGUUAAGUCCAUGACAACUGGCUCAAGAACAGAAACCACAUGGUGGAAGAUCCUGAUGGAGUUAAGCUGCCCCCAACAUGGUGUACGGGAAGCAGAGAGAAAACAGGGAGAAGCAGGGACAAGAAUUUGCCCUUCAGGUCACAGCCUCAGUGACCUGCCUGUCUCAGCAGGUCCCAUUCCCUAACAGCACAUUUAGCUAUCAACUUAUUAAUGGUUGAGUAUAGUGCCCCAAUGAUCUAAUCGCUAUCCCAAAGCCUAAUUUCUGACAUGAGACUUUUGGGGUACAUUUUAGACCUAAAUCAACACCAGCUAUCUGGA